Non-coding RNA from Callithrix jacchus (white-tufted-ear marmoset), 289 nucleotides. Lineage: Eukaryota; Metazoa; Chordata; Mammalia; Primates; Cebidae. The record is from Rfam.
GCAUGUGCUGCCUGUGGUCUCAGCUACUUGAGAUGCUGAGGCAAGUGAAUUGCUUGAGCCUGGGAGUUCUAGGCUGUAGUGCUUUAUGCCCAUUGGGUGUCUACACUGUUUAGCAUCAGUAUGGUGACCUCCUGGGAAUGGGGAACCAGGUUGCCUAAGGAGGGGUGAACAGGCUCAGGUCAGAAAUGUAAGAUCAAAACUCCCCUGCUGAUUAGUAGUGGGACCAUGCCUGUGAAUAGCCAACACACACACACACACACACACACACACACACACACACACACAUUUA